GGGAGGUGCGAGCGGUGUUAGCGAUUACAAACCCCGCUGAGGAGCGGCCGGACACGCGCCGCGCCGACCCGCCGGGGCACAGGAAUUACUGUAAUUAUAAGAGAGAACCUGAAUUACAAUGGGGGAUGACAGUGAGUGGAUGAAGCUGCCCAUUGACCAGAAAUGUGAGCACAAGCUAUGGAAAGCCAGAUUAAAUGGUUAUGAAGAAGCCCUUAAGCUCCUCCAGAAGAUAGAUGAUGAAAAGAGUCCUGAAUAGUCCAAGUAUCUUGGAUUGAUAUAAAAGUUUGUGACAGGCUCCAAUGCAGUGGCUCAGUUGAAAGGACUGGAAGCAGCACUUGCUUAUGUUGAAAAUGCACAUGUAGCUGGGAAGACUACAGGAGAAGUAGCUUCUGGAGUUGUAAAUAAAGUGUUCAAUCAGCCAAAAGCCAGAGCAAAAGAGCUGGGUCUAGAUAUAUGUCUAAUGUAUAUAGAAAUUGAGAAAGGGGAAGCAGUACAAGAAGAAUUGCUAAAGGGUCUGGACAACAAAAGCCCAAAAAUCAUAGAAGCAUGUAUAGAGACCCUGAGGAAAGCACUAAGUGAAUUUGGUUAAAAAAUAAUCUCACUGAAGCCAAUUAUUAAAGUACUGCCAAAACUUUGAGUCUUGGGAAAAGGCUGUUUGGGAUGAAGCCAAACUCCUUGCUGUGGAGAUCUAACGUUGGAUAAGGGAUGCUCUGAGACCUCCACUGCAGAAUAUCAAUUCUGUUCAG
Long non-coding RNA from Calypte anna (Anna's hummingbird), 746 nucleotides. RefSeq lists it as uncharacterized. The transcript has 5 exons. The record is from RefSeq and is a predicted model, not a curated record. Lineage: Eukaryota; Metazoa; Chordata; Aves; Apodiformes; Trochilidae.